CGCGGGGUGGAGCAGCCUGGUAGCUCGUCGGGCUCAUAACCCGAAGGUCGCGGGUUCAAAUCCCGCCCCCGCUA
Gemmatimonadetes bacterium GWC2_71_10 is the source of this 74-nucleotide non-coding RNA. NCBI's taxonomy places the organism in Bacteria, Pseudomonadati, Gemmatimonadota. The record is from Rfam.